CGGACUUCGGUCUGGCGGCGAGUGGCGAACGGGUGAGUAAUACAUCGGAACGUACCCUGUUGUGGGGGAUAACUAGUCGAAAGAUUAGCUAAUACCGCAUACGACCUGAGGGUGAAAGCGGGGGACCGCAAGGCCUCGCGCGAUUGGAGCGGCCGAUGUCAGAUUAGCUAGUUGGUGGGGUAAAGGCCUACCAAGGCGACGAUCGAUAGCUGGUCUGAGAGGACGACCAGCCACACUGGAACUGAGACACGGUCCAGACUCCUACGGGAGGCAGCAGUGGGGAAUUUUGGACAAUGGGGGCAACCCUGAUCCAGCCAUUCCGCGUGAGUGAAGAAGGCCUUCGGGUUGUAAAGCUCUUUCGGCAGGAACGAAACGGUGGGGGCUAAUAUCCCCUGCUAAUGACGGUACCUGAAGAAGAAGCACCGGCUAACUACGUGCCAGCAGCCGCGGUAAUACGUAGGGUGCGAGCGUUAAUCGGAAUUACUGGGCGUAAAGCGUGCGCAGGCGGUUUUGUAAGACAGAUGUGAAAUCCCCGGGCUCAACCUGGGAACUGCAUUUGUGACUGCAUGACUGGAGUGCGGCAGAGGGGGAUGGAAUUCCGCGUGUAGCAGUGAAAUGCGUAGAUAUGCGGAGGAACACCGAUGGCGAAGGCAAUCCCCUGGGCCUGCACUGACGCUCAUGCACGAAAGCGUGGGGAGCAAACAGGAUUAGAUACCCUGGUAGUCCACGCCCUAAACGAUGCGAACUGGAUGUUG
This 755-nucleotide ribosomal RNA is filed under the name uncultured bacterium. RNAcentral describes it as "bacterial SSU rRNA". It matches the Rfam family "Bacterial small subunit ribosomal RNA", at positions 74 to 825 of the family's 1533-position model. The record is from RNAcentral.